UGGGGAAUAUUGGACAAUGGGCGAAAGCCUGAUCCAGCCAUGCCGCGUGAGUGACGAAGGUCUUCGGAUUGUAAAGCUCUUUUGGCGGGGACGAUAAUGACGGUACCCGCAGAAUAAGCCCCGGCUAACUUCGUGCCAGCAGCCGCGGUAAUACGAAGGGGGCUAGCGUUGUUCGGAAUUACUGGGCGUAAAGCGCACGUAGGCGGAUUUGUAAGUCAGGGGUGAAAUCCCGGGGCUCAACCUCGGAACUGCCUCUGAUACUGCGGAUCUCGAGUCCGGAAGAGGUGAGUGGAAUUCCUAGUGUAGAGGUGAAAUUCGUAGAUAUUAGGAAGAACACCAGUGGCGAAGGCGGCUCACUGGUCCGGUACUGACGCUGAGGUGCGAAAGCGUGGGGAGCAAACAGGAUUAGAUACCCAAGUAGUCCCUGAGCGGGCUGGCAAGGCGCAU
This 447-nucleotide ribosomal RNA is filed under the name uncultured bacterium. RNAcentral's name for it is "bacterial SSU rRNA". It matches the Rfam family "Bacterial small subunit ribosomal RNA", at positions 355 to 825 of the family's 1533-position model. The record is from RNAcentral.